GUCCAGACUCCUACGGGAGGCAGCAGUGGGGAAUAUUGCGCAAUGGGCGAAAGCCUGACGCAGCGACGCCGCGUGAGGGAUGAAGGUCUUCGGAUCGUAAACCUCUGUCAGCAGGGAAGAACGGUCACUGUGCUAAUCAGCAGUGAAUUGACGGUACCUGCAAAGGAAGCACCGGCUAACUCCGUGCCAGCAGCCGCGGUAAUACGGAGGGUGCGAGCGUUAAUCGGAAUUACUGGGCGUAAAGGGAGCGUAGACGGCCCAGCAAGCCAGGGGUGAAAGCCCGGGGCCCAACCCCGGGACUGCCCUUGGAACUGCAUGGCUGGAGUGCGGGAGGGGCAGGCGGAAUUCCUGGUGUAGCGGUGAAAUGCGCAGAUAUCAGGAGGAACACCGGCGGCGAAGGCGGCCUGCUGGACCGCGACUGACGUUGAGGCUCGAAAGCGUGGGGAGCGAACAGGAUUAGAUUCCCGCGUA
This 471-nucleotide ribosomal RNA is filed under the name uncultured bacterium. Its description in RNAcentral is "bacterial SSU rRNA". It matches the Rfam family "Bacterial small subunit ribosomal RNA", at positions 329 to 792 of the family's 1533-position model. The record is from RNAcentral.